GAGUUUGAUCCUGGCUCAGGAUGAACGCUGGCGAGAUGCUUUACACAUGCAAGUCGUACGAGAGUCUUUGACUCAAGUGGCGGACGGGUGAGUAACACGUAAGAAUUUGCCUUUAGGAGGGGGACAACAACUGGAAACGGUUGCUAAUACCCCAUAUGCUUUCGAGUAAAAUGGAUUUUUCCGCCUAGAGAGAAGCUUGCGGCUGAUUAGCUUGUUGGUGAGGUAAUGGCUCACCAAGGCGACGAUCAGUAUCUGGUUUGAGAGGACGAUCAGACACACUGGAACUGAGACACGGUCCAGACUCCUACGGGAGGCAGCAGUGGGGAAUUUUCCGCAAUGGGCGAAAGCCUGACGGAGCAAUCUCGCGUGAGGGAUGACUGCCUAUGGGUUGUAAACCUCUUUUUUCAGGGAGGAAUAAAUGACGUGUACCUGAAGAAUAAGCAUCGGCUAACUCCGUGCCAGCAGCCGCGGUAAUACGGAGGAUGCAAGUGUUAUCCGGAAUCACUGGGCGUAAAGCGUCUGUAGGUGGUUUAAUAAGUCAACUGUUAAAUCUUGAGGCUCAACUUCAAAAUCGCAGUCGAAACUAUUAGACUAGAGUAUAGUAGGGGUAAAGGGAAUUUCCAGUGGAGCGGUGAAAUGCGUAGAGAUUGGAAAGAACACCGAUGGCGAAGGCACUUUACUGGGCUAUUACUGACACUCAGAGACGAAAGCUAGGGUAGCAAAUGGGAUUAGAUACCCCAGUAGUCCUAGCCGUAAACAAUGGAUACUAGAUGUUGAACAGAUCGACCUGUGCAGUAUCAAAGCUAACGCGUUAAGUAUCCCGCCUGGGAAGUAUGCUCGCAAGAGUGAAACUCAAAGGAAUUGA
RNAcentral lists this ribosomal RNA (865 nucleotides) under uncultured bacterium. RNAcentral's name for it is "bacterial SSU rRNA". It matches the Rfam family "Bacterial small subunit ribosomal RNA", at positions 9 to 913 of the family's 1533-position model. The record is from RNAcentral.